Molecule: RNA transcript, 1875 nt
Organism: Athene cunicularia (burrowing owl)
Lineage: Eukaryota; Metazoa; Chordata; Aves; Strigiformes; Strigidae
Gene: KHDRBS3
Gene name: KH RNA binding domain containing, signal transduction associated 3
Exons: 11
Source: RefSeq, a predicted model, not a curated record
UGAAAAAUUCCAGAAGGGGGAAGGAAAGGAAGAAGAAAAAUAUAUUGAUGUGGUCAUCAAUAAAAAUAUGAAGUUGGGACAGAAAGUUUUGAUUCCAGUAAAACAAUUCCCUAAGUUCAACUUUGUGGGAAAACUUUUGGGUCCACGUGGCAAUUCUCUAAAGCGUUUACAGGAAGAAACACUGACAAAAAUGUCUAUUUUGGGAAAAGGUUCUAUGAGGGACAAGACAAAGGAGGAAGAGUUGAGAAAAAGUGGAGAGGCAAAGUACUUCCACCUAAAUGAUGACCUGCAUGUUUUGAUUGAAGUUUUUGCUCCACCAGCGGAAGCAUAUGCCAGAAUGGGACAUGCAUUGGAAGAAAUCAAGAAGUUCCUCAUCCCUGACUACAAUGAUGAGAUCAGACAGGCACAGCUUCAAGAAUUAACAUAUUUAAAUGGUGGUUCAGAAAAUGCAGAAGUUCCAGUAGUCCGUGGAAAACCAUCUAUUCGAGCAAGAGGAGUACCAGUUCCUGCUUUGUCCAGCAGGCUGUGUCUGGGAACUUCACUGCUCACCCCUGCCCCCACUACAAUGAAGUCAAAUAAGCAGCUGGUACCCUGUCCUGAGGAGGCAUUCUACAGAUUAGCCAAAACCAAGGGCCGUGGAGGAGUGCCUCCACCACCAGCAGGAGUACCAAGAGGGGCACCAGCACCCAGAGGAGUGCCUCCCAGUAGAGGACCAGUCAGUCGUAGCCGUGGACUUCUAGCACCCAGAGCAAGAGGAGUACCUCCACCUUCAGGAUACCGCCCCCUUCCACCACCUCCAGCACAGGAGACAUAUGGUGAAUAUGAAUAUGAUGAUGGUUAUGGAACUGCUUACGAUGAACAAAGCUAUGAUUCCUAUGAUAACAGCUAUAGCACUCAAGCACAAAGUGGAGCAGAUUACUAUGACUAUGGUCACGGACUAAGUGAAGAAACGUACGACUCUUAUGGGCAAGAAGAAUGGACCAACUCACGACACAAGGCACCUUCUGCAAGAACGUCAAAAGGAGUCUACAGAGACCAGCCAUAUGCCAGAUACUGAUUGUACUGUCUGAUGUUGUGAAAUAUCCAAUCUCCACCAGUCCUGUAUACUGUUCAAAGAAACCCACCUCCUUGGACAGCCAAGAGAACAAAAACCUUAAUUGUCUGAUGCUUUGGAACUUCUGCCAUGUUAAUUACGGACUGCUUAGAGCAUUGUACUUAUCCGUGUGCCUAGACAACAAUGAGACGGGCUACGGAGUAUGAAAAUCCCUUUCAAUAUUUCUUGUAUUAAAGCCUUAAAGUGUAUAACGGUAUACACUUUUUAAAAUAAUUGUGUAUUUAAACUUGUUUAGUGAUGCAGCAGUGUUUUAUUUGGACCUCAAUAAAGAAUUUUCAUCAAAGUUCCUGUUACGAAGCAAUAAUGCAACCUGAUGUUUGUUUAGUGACUCUUUUUAGCCUUAUUCAGCAAGUGUAAGAGAGCAUGUGAAUCCUCAUGACUUCGGAAAUAGCUUGUCUAAUGUAUGAAUGACAUGGAUAAGUUAAAAUGAAGAUUGGUGUUUUAUGCUGAAGCUUUAUUUAAUAGUUAAUUGUAAACAGGUCUACUCAAAUAAGACUUGGGUAGAAAUGAUACUCCCAACUUUCAUUUCCUUCCGGAACUUGUAUAAAGUGAAGGUGUUUUAAUCCCUGUCAAUUAUACUACGCUGCUUAUUCUCUUUCACUUGGUGUUUGAUGCAUAGAAAUGUUUAAUAGACAGUCACAGGUUUUCUAGUAGUAGUCUUGGAUGAGGCUUUUACACCUUGAUAAAUCUCAUAUCUAACAGUCAUGUUUCCUCAGUGCUUUGUUUUAUAUUAAUUGUGAUUGUGAUAAUUUGUAACAGAA